Molecule: ribosomal RNA, 424 nt
Filed under: Verrucomicrobiota bacterium
Lineage: Bacteria; Pseudomonadati; Verrucomicrobiota
Description: Verrucomicrobia bacterium partial 16S ribosomal RNA
Rfam family: Bacterial small subunit ribosomal RNA
Source: RNAcentral
UGGGGAAUAUUGGACAAUGGGCGAGAGCCUGAACCAGCCAAGUAGCGUGCAGGAUGACGGCCCUAUGGGUUGUAAACUGCUUUUAUAUGGGAAUAAAGUGAGGGACGUGUCCCUUAUUGCAUGUACCAUACGAAUAAGGACCGGCUAAUUCCGUGCCAGCAGCCGCGGUAAUACGGAAGGUCCAGGCGUUAUCCGGAUUUAUUGGGUUUAAAGGGAGCGUAGGCUGUUUGUUAAGCGUGUUGUGAAAUGUAAGAGCUCAACUUUUAGAUUGCAGCGCGAACUGGCAGACUUGAGUGCGCACAACGUAGGCGGAAUUCAUGGUGUAGCGGUGAAAUGCUUAGAUAUCAUGACGAACUCCGAUUGCGAAGGCAGCUUACGGGAGCGCAACUGACGCUAAAGCUCGAAGGUGCGGGUAUCGAACAGG